UUAAGCGACUAAGCGUACACGGUGGAUGCCCUGGCAGUCAGAGGCGAUGAAGGACGUGCUAAUCUGCGAUAAGCGUCGGUAAGGUGAUAUGAACCGUUAUAACCGGCGAUUUCCGAAUGGGGAAACCCAGUGUGAUUCGUCACACUAUCAUUAACUGAAUCCAUAGGUUAAUGAGGCGAACCGGGGGAACUGAAACAUCUAAGUACCCCGAGGAAAAGAAAUCAACCGAGAUUCCCCCAGUAGCGGCGAGCGAACGGGGAGCAGCCCAGAGCCUGAAUCAGUGUGUGUGUUAGUGGAAGCGUCUGGAAAGGCGUGCGAUACAGGGUGACAGCCCCGUACACAAAAAUGCACAUAUUGUGAGCUCGAUGAGUAGGGCGGGACACGUGGUAUCCUGUCUGAAUAUGGGGGGACCAUCCUCCAAGGCUAAAUACUCCUGACUGACCGAUAGUGAACCAGUACCGUGAGGGAAAGGCGAAAAGAACCCCGGCGAGGGGAGUGAAAAAGAACCUGAAACCGUGUACGUACAAGCAGUGGGAGCACGCUUAGGCGUGUGACUGCGUACCUUUUGUAUAAUGGGUCAGCGACUUAUAUUCUGUAGCAAGGUUAACCGAAUAGGGGAGCCGAAGGGAAACCGAGUCUUAACUGGGCGUUAAGUUGCAGGGUAUAGACCCGAAACCCGGUGAUCUAGCCAUGGGCAGGUUGAAGGUUGGGUAACACUAACUGGAGGACCGAACCGACUAAUGUUGAAAAAUUAGCGGAUGACUUGUGGCUGGGGGUGAAAGGCCAAUCAAACCGGGAGAUAGCUGGUUCUCCCCGAAAGCUAUUUAGGUAGCGCCUCGUGAAUUCAUCUCCGGGGGUAGAGCACUGUUUCGGCAAGGGGGUCAUCCCGACUUACCAACCCGAUGCAAACUGCGAAUACCGGAGAAUGUUAUCACGGGAGACACACGGCGGGUGCUAACGUCCGUCGUGAAGAGGGAAACAACCCAGACCGCCAGCUAAGGUCCCAAAGUCAUGGUUAAGUGGGAAACGAUGUGGGAAGGCCCAGACAGCCAGGAUGUUGGCUUAGAAGCAGCCAUCAUUUAAAGAAAGCGUAAUAGCUCACUGGUCGAGUCGGCCUGCGCGGAAGAUGUAACGGGGCUAAACCAUGCACCGAAGCUGCGGCAGCGACGCUGAUGCGUUGUUGGGUAGGGGAGCGUUCUGUAAGCCUGCGAAGGUGUGCUGUGAGGCAUGCUGGAGGUAUCAGAAGUGCGAAUGCUGACAUAAGUAACGAUAAAGCGGGUGAAAAGCCCGCUCGCCGGAAGACCAAGGGUUCCUGUCCAACGUUAAUCGGGGCAGGGUGAGUCGACCCCUAAGGCGAGGCCGAAAGGCGUAGUCGAUGGGAAACAGGUUAAUAUUCCUGUACUUGGUGUUACUGCGAAGGGGGGACGGAGAAGGCUAUGUUGGCCGGGCGACGGUUGUCCCGGUUUAAGCGUGUAGGCUGGUUUUCCAGGCAAAUCCGGAAAAUCAAGGCUGAGGCGUGAUGACGAGGCACUACGGUGCUGAAGCAACAAAUGCCCUGCUUCCAGGAAAAGCCUCUAAGCAUCAGGUAACAUCAAAUCGUACCCCAAACCGACACAGGUGGUCAGGUAGAGAAUACCAAGGCGCUUGAGAGAACUCGGGUGAAGGAACUAGGCAAAAUGGUGCCGUAACUUCGGGAGAAGGCACGCUGAUAUGUAGGUGAAGCGACUUGCUCGUGGAGCUGAAAUCAGUCGAAGAUACCAGCUGGCUGCAACUGUUUAUUAAAAACACAGCACUGUGCAAACACGAAAGUGGACGUAUACGGUGUGACGCCUGCCCGGUGCCGGAAGGUUAAUUGAUGGGGUCAGCGCAAGCGAAGCUCUUGAUCGAAGCCCCGGUAAACGGCGGCCGUAACUAUAACGGUCCUAAGGUAGCGAAAUUCCUUGUCGGGUAAGUUCCGACCUGCACGAAUGGCGUAAUGAUGGCCAGGCUGUCUCCACCCGAGACUCAGUGAAAUUGAACUCGCUGUGAAGAUGCAGUGUACCCGCGGCAAGACGGAAAGACCCCGUGAACCUUUACUAUAGCUUGACACUGAACAUUGAGCCUUGAUGUGUAGGAUAGGUGGGAGGCUUUGAAGUGUGGACGCCAGUCUGCAUGGAGCCGACCUUGAAAUACCACCCUUUAAUGUUUGAUGUUCUAACGUGGACCCGUGAUCCGGGUUGCGGACAGUGUCUGGUGGGUAGUUUGACUGGGGCGGUCUCCUCCUAAAGAGUAACGGAGGAGCACGAAGGUUGGCUAAUCCUGGUCGGACAUCAGGAGGUUAGUGCAAUGGCAUAAGCCAGCUUGACUGCGAGCGUGACGGCGCGAGCAGGUGCGAAAGCAGGUCAUAGUGAUCCGGUGGUUCUGAAUGGAAGGGCCAUCGCUCAACGGAUAAAAGGUACUCCGGGGAUAACAGGCUGAUACCGCCCAAGAGUUCAUAUCGACGGCGGUGUUUGGCACCUCGAUGUCGGCUCAUCACAUCCUGGGGCUGAAGUAGGUCCCAAGGGUAUGGCUGUUCGCCAUUUAAAGUGGUACGCGAGCUGGGUUUAGAACGUCGUGAGACAGUUCGGUCCCUAUCUGCCGUGGGCGCUGGAGAACUGAGGGGGGCUGCUCCUAGUACGAGAGGACCGGAGUGGACGCAUCACUGGUGUUCGGGUUGUCAUGCCAAUGGCACUGCCCGGUAGCUAAAUGCGGAAGAGAUAAGUGCUGAAAGCAUCUAAGCACGAAACUUGCCCCGAGAUGAGUUCUCCCUGACUCCUUGAGAGUCCUGAAGGAACGUUGAAGACGACGACGUUGAUAGGCCGGGUGUGUAAGCGCAGCGAUGCGUUGAGCUAACCGGUACUAAUGAACCGUGAGGCUUAACCUU
This 2902-nucleotide ribosomal RNA is filed under the name Escherichia coli. Its description in RNAcentral is "23S ribosomal RNA". It matches the Rfam family "Bacterial large subunit ribosomal RNA". The record is from RNAcentral. Lineage: Bacteria; Pseudomonadati; Pseudomonadota; Gammaproteobacteria; Enterobacterales; Enterobacteriaceae.